RNAcentral lists this ribosomal RNA (253 nucleotides) under uncultured bacterium. Its description in RNAcentral is "partial 16S ribosomal RNA". It matches the Rfam family "Bacterial small subunit ribosomal RNA", at positions 524 to 776 of the family's 1533-position model. The record is from RNAcentral.
GACAGAGGGUGCAAACGUUGUUCGGAAUUACUGGGCGUAAAGCGCGUGUAGGCUGCUUGGCAAGUCGGAUGUGAAAGCCCUGGGCUCAACCUAGGAAGUGCAUUCGAAACUGCUGAGCUUGAGUUCUGGAGAGGAAGGCGGAAUUCUCGGUGUAGAGGUGAAAUUCGUAGAUAUCGGGAAGAACAUCGGUGGCGAAGGCGGCCUUCUGGACAGCAACUGACGCUGAGACGCGAAAGCGUGGGGAGCAAACAGG